Long non-coding RNA from Phyllostomus discolor (pale spear-nosed bat), 1421 nucleotides. RefSeq lists it as uncharacterized. The transcript is spliced from 2 exons. The record is from RefSeq and is a predicted model, not a curated record. Lineage: Eukaryota; Metazoa; Chordata; Mammalia; Chiroptera; Phyllostomidae.
ACAAGAAAUAGUGGGCAUCAGUCACAGUUGUGAGAAGUAGGGGACUCUGUGGCUCCCCCCUGAGAAAGAGAAGGAACACCAAAGUCUAUCAGAAGAACUGGGGGUCUCUUCUCAGGCUGAAGUCACAAACUGGACCCCUACUUCUAUAGCCAGCCAAUGGAUGUUUUGCCCACAUGACCCGCCAAAAUAUACUUUUUUCCAAAAAAUAUUUUAAUUAAGAAAUUUCACUAAGUAUCUGAAAUGUCUUCUCUCAAGUUCUAUAUCAUUUGGGCUCAUUUUUGUCACCCAAGCCUAAAGUCUGGGCAAAUGUGCAGCUCCAUGGCCCACUGCCUGCCUUUCUCCUUUACAUCACUGGCUAUCACCUGCUGGGCUGCUUGGGGCUUUUGAAUUUUCAGCCCCUGUCUGCAGGCUCUUCCAACUCCUACAGGCUCUCCCCCUACUCCAAACUGCUCUGGCUUCCACAGCAACCAGGUGGGCUAAGUGGGCCAUGACAGGAGGCUGAGCAGGGCACCUCACAGGGAAUGAAAGCCCCAGACCUUUGGACCAGGGCUGCUACAUCAGAGUGGGAGGCUGGGCAGCGAGGACCCUCUGCCCCCAUCUUUCUGUCUUCCCAGGGUGGCUGCCCCUGUGUUCAGGAGAGAUACCUGAAUAUCCAGUCCCCAGUGGAUGGCACAGCUGCAUUGUUGCCUCACCCCACAGCAGGCAAGGAAUCAGAACUGUUUCAAGCUGACUCUAGGAGAGCUACUGAGGAUGCUGCAGAGGCAGCCAUGGGGUCCCCCUCAUCUCUGGAAAUUUCAUACAGCAUGCUUUUAGGCUGGCUGAUCUCCACCAGAAAAACACAAGGAGCAAGACUGAAGGAGAAACACCCCAUCCUAAUUGUUCUGGAUCUCAAUCCUCUCCUUCUUCUGCUAGUGUUGCCUCCUAGAGGCCAGGAUGGCCUUUCCAGUGUGGGCAGGGGUGAGGGGGGAUCCGGGGCAGAAGGUGAAGCUGAGUCCCAGCAGCAGAGGGUCGUUCCCAUGGACUCCACUCACCGAGAGCAAGGAUUCCCGCAGCUUCUCCACAAAGUUCUCCGGAGGCAGGAUUCCCAGGGCAGGUCUGUUGAUGAAUGUGCUCUGCAAAGAGGUCCAGAGACAAAUAGUGACUUCUCAGGCCUGACCCAGCUCCAGGUCCACCAACCACACUGUUCACAGGGAUGAGUCCAAUAGGCUGAUGGUGUCAUAUCCAUGCUGGAAUGAUGUGUAAUCCCGCACUUUUAGAGAAAUCCACUAGAACUGCUUUGGAUUUUAAGAAGAAAUGCCAAUUUGUUGGUUGUGAUAUUGCACUAUAAUUAUACAAGAUGCUGCCUUUGGGGGAAACGGGGUGAAAGGUACAUGGGACCUCUCUGUACUAUUUUUGCAAUUUCCUGUAAAUCUGUAAUUAAA